This is a long non-coding RNA of Oxyura jamaicensis (ruddy duck), 501 nucleotides long. RefSeq lists it as uncharacterized. NCBI's taxonomy places the organism in Eukaryota, Metazoa, Chordata, Aves, Anseriformes, Anatidae. The transcript is spliced from 2 exons. The record is from RefSeq and is a predicted model, not a curated record.
UGGGUCAGAGUCUAUAAGUUGAUGCCUUUCCAAGUUGGAAGAGAUAAGUGCAUCUAUUUAAGGUAACAUCUAGUAGGACCAUAUAAAGUAAAUUAAUGUAUAAAGUAGUAGGUGCCUUUAUUGCAUGCAGCUCUUCUUCAGCAGUAGGUGAACCUUAGGAGGAACUGGUCAAAGUAAACAGCACUUUCUGGAACUGUCAAGUUCUUGUUUGGCAUCUCGGUGACUGGUUUGAUCUACUUUUCAGAUGUGGAGGCAAGGGAACUGCUGUUUUGAAAUUAUAAAAUUAAAAACACAAAGUUUGACAAAUAUGGCAGUGCCUGUUUGCAGUCUGUUUAUUGCUUUUGCCAGUGGUAGAUAACACUUAUAAGGAAUCAGCCAAAGGAAAGAGCUCCUUCUGGAACUGUGAAGCUCUGCGUUGGCAACUCGGUGACUGGUUUGACCUACCGUCCAUCUCCAGAGGAAAACAGACUGCUGUUUUAAAAUUAAAAAAUAAAAAUAAAA